UAAGAUUUGCAGACACACACACAAAAUUCUUCCGUCCCAACAAUUCAGCACCAGUUUUUAACGCCCAAGUCGGACGUUUUCUCCCUUUGAAACUCUCUUCAUACCCAACAUCUCCUCUCCUCAUCAUCCUCUCUCUCUAUCUUUUGCGGUGACCCCUCUCUUCCCCUUUUCUUCAGGGGUCGCCACUCCCUCCAAUUUGCCAAUUUUCUUCAAUUUUUCAAUUUCUCCUUCGCCGAAAUCCACACGCAGGAACUUUUUUUAUUUUUUAUUUUUUUCGUUUCUUCGAAUAAUCAGCCAUGUCGGAGAUGGCCAACACAGAUCCGGAAGGGAUUGACGGAGUUCGAAUGACAUGGAAUGUCUGGCCACGCACCAAAGUUGAAGCCAGCAAGUGCGUGAUCCCACUCGCCGCCUCCAUUUCUCUGAUCCGCCACCACCCUGAUAUCCCUACCCUUCCUUACACGCCUCUCCGCUGCAAGACUUGCUCCGCAAUCCUCAAUUCCUUCUCGCGCGUCGACUUUACUGCCAAGAUCUGGAUCUGCCCCUUUUG
This 547-nucleotide unclassified non-coding RNA is filed under the name Hevea brasiliensis (rubber tree). Lineage: Eukaryota; Viridiplantae; Streptophyta; Magnoliopsida; Malpighiales; Euphorbiaceae. The record is from RNAcentral.